UUAGGAGCCUGCUGAGCCUCCUAUUUGAGCAAUGAAAGGGCAAAACCCUAACCCUAACCCUAACCCUUUUUGCCCCAAAAGGAGUUUUUGAGUUCUACCAAGGACUAAUGGGAGCUGCAGUUGUUUUUGGCAAAGUUGGCUUUUGAAACACAGGAAGCGACCCUUUCACGGAGAGACUGCCCUAUUUGAGCAAUGAAAGGGCAAAAGUGGGUCCCUUUUUUCCCAAAAAGGAGUUUUUGAGUUCUACCAAGGACUAAUGGGAGCUGCAGUUGUUUUUGGCAAAGUUGGCUUUUGAAACACAGGAAGCGACCCUUUCACGGAGAGACUGCCCUAUUUGAGCAAUGAAAGGGCAAAAGUGGGUCCCUUUAUUCCCAAAAAGGAGUUUUUGAGUUCUACCAAGGACUAAUGGGAGCUGCAGUUGUUUUUGGCAAAGUUGGCUUUUGAAACACAGGGUGCGACCCUUUCACGGAGAGACUGCCCUAUUUGAGCAAUGAAAGGGCAAAAGUGGGUCCCUUUUUUCCCAAAAAGGAGUUUUUGAGUUCUACCAAGGACUAAUGGGAGCUGCAGUUGUUUUUGGCAAAGUUGGCUUUUGAAACACAGGAAGCGACCCUUUCACGGAGAGACUGCCCUAUUUGAGCAAUGAAAGGGCAAAAGUGGGUCCCUUUUUUCCCAAAAAGGAUUUUAGAGUUCUGCCAAGGACUAAUGGGAGCUGCAGUUGUUUUUGGCAAAGUUGGCUUUUGAAACACAGGAAGCGACCCUUUCACGGAGAGACUGCCCUAUUUGAGCAAUGAAAGGGCAAAAGUGGGUCCCUUUUUCCCCAAAAAGGAGUUUUUGAGUUCUACCAAGGACUAAUGGGAGCUGCAGUUGUUUUUGGCAAAGUUGGCUUUUGAAACACAGGAAGCGACCCUUUCACGGAGAGACUGCCCUAUUUGAGCAAUGAAAGGGCAAAAGUGGGUCCCUUUUUCCCCAAAAAAGAUUUUAGAGUUCUGCCAAGGACUAAUGGGAGCUGCAGUUGUUUUUGGCAAAGUUGGCUUUUGAAACACAGGAAGCGACCCUUUCACGGAGAGACUGCCCUAUUUGAGCAAUGAAAGGGCAAAAGUGGGUCCCUUUUUUCCCAAAAAGGAUUUUUUGAGUUCUACCAAGGACUAAUGGGAGCUGCAGUUGUUUUUGGCAAAGUUGGCUUUUGAAACACAGGGUGCGACCCUUUCACGGAGAGACUGCCCUAUUUGAGCAAUGAAAGGGCAAAAGUGGGUCCCUUUUUUCCCAAAAAGGAUUUUUUGAGUUCUACCAAGGACUAAUGGGAGCUGCAGUUGUUUUUGGCAAAGUUGGCUUUUGAAACACAGGAAGCGACCCUUUCACGGAGAGACUGCCCUAUUUGAGCAAUGAAAGGGCAAAAGUGGGUCCCUUUUUGCCCCAAAAGGAGUUUUUGAGUUCUACCAAGGACUAAUGGGAGCUGCAGUUGUUUUUGGCAAAGUUGGCUUUUGAAACACAGGAAGCGACCCUUUCACGGAGAGACUGCCCUAUUUGAGCAAUGAAAGGGCAAAAGUGGGUCCCUUUUUUCCCAAAAAGGAUUUUUUGAGUUCUACCAAGGACUAAUGGGAGCUGCAGUUGUUUUUGGCAAAGUUGGCUUUUGAAACACAGGAAGCGACCCUUUCACGGAAAGACUGCCCUAUUUGAGCAAUGAAAGGGCAAAAGUGGGUCCCUUUUUUCCCAAAAAGGAUUUUUUGAGUUCUGCCAAGCACUAAUGGGAGCUGCAGUUAUUUUUGGCAAAGUUGGGUUUUGAAACACAGAAAGCGACCCUUUCACAGAGAGACUGCCCUAUUUGAGCAAUGAAAGGGCAAAAGUGGGUCCCUUUUUUCCCAAAAAGGAUUUUUUGAGUUCUACCAAGGACUAAUGGGAGCUGCAGUUGUUUUUGGCAAAGUUGGGUUUUGAAACACAGAAAGCGACCCUUUCACGGAGAGACUGCCCUAUUUGAGCAAUGAAAGGGCAAAAGUGGGUCCCUUGUUUCCCAAAAAGGAGUUUUUUGAGUUCUGCCAAGGACUAAUGGGAGCUGCAAUUCUUUUUGCCAAAGUUGGCUUUUUAUUCAGAGACCCUGGCACGGAGAAAAACAGCCCUGCAUGAGGCAAGGGCCAAAUCACCAGGCUCCCUUGUUUCCAAAAACCCUUUAGAAGAAAAAAAAGGCGCAGCAGAAUAAUUGCUGGCCGUGUGGGAAAAUUGCAAACGCCAAUCUCGUGAGGAAAAAAACACCCACAGGCCCUUUGCAAAAAAUUAUAAAACCAACACCCAACACCCAACAGUUUACCCACACCUCCAAAACUCACCCACCCAAAAUUUUCUCCCGGUCUUCAGCCUAGCUCAGCUCUAGAAAACAGCCAAGGAGGCUGUGACGCAGCAAAGUUUACUGCCUGCCUGCCUGCUACCCAAACUCCCUUCCACCCUCUUCAGAAUCCCCGGAGCGAAUGAGCCACGAGGCUGAGUGCAGCCUCUUUUCAUUCAGGACGUCCUACCAGCCCCUCCCCCUGGUUUAACGUGCUCUCUGAUUGGCCACAAGGUGCCAACAACACGCUAGGUUGCCCCAGUGCCAUUAAACAAGUUUGGGUGAUUUGCAAAAGCAUUUUUUAAAAACGAAAAAAAGGCGCCAUAACGGAAAACGGCCAAUCGCGGUUCGAAACCGCGAUAUCCAGGCGUCUGGACAACCAAGGUUCAAUAUUGCUUCAAAAUAAACGAAAAUAACGAAUCAAUAAUGGUAAACGGGGAAAACGAAUUAUUUGAGCAAGCCUAGCAUCUACAUGUCUGUGUCAUUGGGAUUUCAUUCCUUUUCUUUUCCGUUUGUAAGCCCACAACAACUUCUCCAUCACAUGUGUGUAUAAAUGUAUGUUUCAGGAGACUUAAAACAUAUUCAGUGUAGUCCGUAACAUUUGAAGUCCCAUUGUUCGCUCACUCACUCAGGUGGUAAAGGGGAACGAAGGAUAAGACAAAAGGGGCAGGAAAAGGGAGGGUGGGUGGUGCAUGGAUCUCUUGAGUGGAUGGAGAAAAAAAGAUGUGGAAGAAAUAAAGAGAGAGAUGGUGGGAAGGGGCUGGGCAGUGCCCUCAGCAGAUCUGGCCUUUAUUGGUAAUAUACAGUACAGUCUCGCUUAUCUAACGUAAACGGGCCGGCAGAAUGUUGUAUAAGCGAAUAUGUUGGAUAAUAAGGAGAGAUUAAGGAAAAGCCUAUUAAACAUUAAAUUAGGUUAUGAUUUUACAAAUUAAGCACCAAAACAUCAUGUUAUACAACAAAUUUGACAGAAAAAGUAGUUCAAUACACAUUAAUGCUAUAUAGUAAUUACUGUAUUUACGAAUUUAGCACCAAAAUAUCAUGAUAUAUUGAAAACAUUGACUACAUAAAUGCCUUGGAUAAUCCAGAACGUUGGAUAAGUGAGUGUUGGAUAAGUGAGACUCUACUGUAUAAACUUCUGUUAAGUUCAAACAUAUUGAUGCCAAUGUUGCGAGAAAGAAGAAGUAGAGCUUGGCUUAUUCAGGACUAUAUGAGCCCCUAUGAGUCUCCGAUCCAUCAAUGCCAAUGCAGGCUUAGAUUUCUUACCUCAACUCCACUCCUUGAUUCCAUCCUGAUCCCAAUUUGGGCACAGGACAUGCAAGAAAAAAACUGAUUUUUCCUAGGAACUGUGGGUUAAAAAGGAUUUUUUUUAUAAUCUCAUCAAAGCUCUUGAGCAUUCAAAAUAAAUCAGUGGUUAUUAGUUGCCACAACUACUGCACUUUAUCAUACUCCACUCUUAUUGAUUGAACUCUGUAAUGAGAUCCUUAAUUCCCUCUUGUAGAGUCUGUUGAAUUUUAUCUUAGUUUGUAUAUUAUGUUCAGACUCUAAUGUUCUAAUGUUUUGAUGUUGAUGUUUUAUGCUGGUUUGUAUGUUUAUACUAUUUUACCUGUUUUACGUUGGUUUAAUUAUGCUGUAUUUUAUUGUAUGUUGAAACUGGGCUUGUCCCCAUGUGAGCCGCCCCGAGUCCCCUCUGGGGAGAUGGGAGCGGGAUAUACAAAUAAAGUUAUUAUUAUUAUAUUAUUUAUUAUGUGGUUCCCAAUGGUUUUUUUUUUUUAAUCAGGGACCACUUUGACCAGGGACCACUCUCCAACAUUAGUACCAAAAGGGUUACGAAUCAGUUUUUGGUCAACUUUAGAUUUGGUUUGGUUAUUUGGAGUGCUGAUUCAGAAAAUUGCAUUGGAUAGACCAUAGUUUCUAAUACAGAACAUAUGCCAUCCAGUUUCUAGUUUCUAAUACAGAACAUAUGCCAUCCAGUAGUCGUCAACUGCUCACCCACAGAAAACCAUAUUUAAUAAUCUAGUGCUGAUGUGGUCUACCCAAUGCAAUUUUCUGAACCAGCACCACAAAUAACCCCAGAAACAGGCCUAAAAAUGAAGACACCAAGGUGCCCCCGCUUCCAGGUGCCACAUGGAAUGUCUCUGCUUGGGGAGGAAGGAGGAGGCGAAGCAGCAGUCAGGAGGUUUGUUGUCACACCUUUCAUGUGACAACAGGUUUGUUGUCACACCUUCCUGACAUCCCCAUUGCCUCUGCACUAUAAGAGGAUUUUGUGAGACCAGUCACUCUCAUUGCAACGAUUUAGUAACAGUGAGGCCACGGACCAUAUUUUAGUUCUUGGGGAACUCUGGUUGGGAACCAUUGAAAUAAAUGAUUCAACUUUGAAACCAAAAGAACCUUGUGUUUUCAAAUAGGGUCAGUAUUAAGGUAAGGACAAAUUAUUUUGCAAGUGUGGAUUCAGCUUGAGUCAGACAGAAGUAGGCCAUAGACUAUUAGGAAAUCUGGUGGGGGAUUGUGGCUGUUGGAAUAAUUUAUAAUGUUUCUUUUCUGUUGCUCAUUACACCCUAAGGUUAAAAGGAAACACAAAUAAACAGAAGAUUCAGUGGCACUGUGGCACUUUCAUAGCUUUCUCAGAUCCUCAUUAACACUUAGCCAGACUUUCCUGAAUGAUUUAAGAUGUGUUUGUAUUUGCUUUUUCUUAGAGGGCAAAUAGAAAUCUCAGUGGGGAGUCUUUUGCUACAUAAAAAUGCUACUGCCCUAUUGCAUUCAUUUUAAUAUGGAAAUAGAUUAUAGGUGUCCAGUUAAAUACUUUUUAAAAAAAGGAAAACACAUCACCAAACAAAAGAGUUUUAAAAACACACAACCCAGCUGUGCCUAAAAGUUUCAUAGGGAAAACAACUGCUUUGGGGGAGGGGAUAUUGAAAAGAUAUAAUAAAUCACCCCAAUAAUAGUCAAUUAUUCUGUAAAAUAUGCACAGUUCAAACUAAAAACAACAACAACAACAACAAAAACAGUGAUGGUGAAGGGUAUAAAUCUGUAGCUAAAAGAAGCAAGAUGGGUCUUGACUGGUCUUCAAUAAAGCCGAGGUCAAAUAAAUUUCAGCUGUGGGUAGUUAACAAGAAACCCUUGUGAACUUUAACUUUUGUUCUGUGAGGAUAGUAGGCUGUUAUAUUAAGCUUAGAACUUUAUAGUAUAAAGCCUCUAUUCCAUAGCAAUCACACAGUCUACCAAGUGCAGUUACAUAUCAUCAUGAACACCCCCAUUAUCAUAACACUCUCCAUUUGUCCAAUUACACUGAUUUACUGCUAUGUCCUACCACCCUUGGUACUUCUGCAUAAUCCCAUAACCCUGCUUUCCCCCAUUUCUGUUCUUCUAAUUUUAAAAAAAACAUUUUAAAGUAAUUUCACAGCUGCAAGUAUGGUUAAGUAAUUUUAAAAACCAUCAAAUACUACUGAUUUUUUGGGAGAAACAGAGGGAGGAAGACUAGUAGAGGAGAGACUUGCAAUGAAAUGUAAAAAGGAUAGUAUGGUAUGUAAUGUGUGAGUACUAUGUUAGUAAUAUAAUAUUUCUUCUAUAUAAACAACUUUUAGUGGCACUUGUUAUGCAAGCUGCCAAAGAAGGGGAUUAUGGUAUCUUAUUAAUAUCAAUCAAAAUUGGAUUUGAUUAGAAACAGUGGUAGAUCCUAGCCCUCUAGAAUCUCUUACAUUUACUGAUAGUAUAUAUUACAAUGAAUAUUUUACUUUAGGUAUCCACUACCUGUAUUUACUUUGUCUACAUUAGUAUGAUUCUUAACAUAAAUGGAAUACACUCAGCAACACUUACACAGGUAUUCUGGAAAAACUAUUCCUCUUUAUAGUUUCAGUGUCAGUUCUGUCAAAUAAAAAUCAAAACCAGACAAAGACUUUUGUGGAUUGAUAAAUUUAUUGAGGAAGCACAAAAGAUGUUCAGCAGCAGCUUCAAUGAAGAACAGUUGCUGAUGUCCAAAAUUCCAUCACAGAAAAAUUGCCAGAAAAAAGCAAUUUUUCAUCUCCUAAGCAUGAUCGGUUUUCCAAAAAGUGAUUGUCAAAAGAAAGGGUAACCAGACAUCGUAUUUUAAAUGAAGUCUGCAAAAACAAAAGAAAUCUGGACAUUACCAAAAGUGAUAAAAGGACUAUCUCACCUUGUUGCCACGUGACUAGGUCUUGGGCUACCAGUCAGCCAGGCUCUCGAAUGAUUCUCUUAAGAACGCUUCUGUUCCUUUAGCUAAAGAGUGGGUACCACUAAUAGAAAUCAGUGUUAACUUGGAGGUACAGUGCUGAAAUGCACCAAAAAACAACAUGUCACCCCCAGAAAAGAAGAUUACACUGACUAUCCCAUUGUCACCCCACCUCCAACAAUUUUAUCCUAAUUUUAGAAAUGUUUUAAUGAGAAUUUAAAGAUCUAAUAUGUUUGUAAUUAUCGUAUUUUAAAUGAAGUCUGCAAAAACAAAAGAAAUCUGGACAUUACCAAAAGUGAUAAAAGGACUAUCUCACCUUGUUGCCACGUGACUAGGUCUUGGGCUACCAGUCAGCCAGGCUCUCGAAUGAUUCUCUUAAGAACGCUUCUGUUCCUUUAGCUAAAGAGUGGGUACCACUAAUAGAAAUCAGUGUUAACUUGGAGGUACAGUGCUGAAAUGCACCAAAAAACAACAUGUCACCCCCAGAAAAGAAGAUUACACUGACUAUCCCAUUGUCACCCCACCUCCAACAAUUUUAUCCUAAUUUUAGAAAUGUUUUAAUGAGAAUUUAAAGAUCUAAUAUGUUUGUAAUUAUCGUAUUUUAAAUGAAGUCUGCAAAAACAAAAGAAAUCUGGACAUUACCAAAAGUGAUAAAAGGACUAUCUCACCUUGUUGCCACGUGACUAGGUCUUGGGCUACCAGUCAGCCAGGCUCUCGAAUGAUUCUCUUAAGAACGCUUCUGUUCCUUUAGCUAAAGAGUGGGUACCACUAAUAGAAAUCAGUGUUAACUUGGAGGUACAGUGCUGAAAUGCACCAAAAAACAACAUGUCACCCCCAGAAAAGAAGAUUACACUGACUAUCCCAUUGUCACCCCACCUCCAACAAUUUUAUCCUAAUUUUAGAAAUGUUUUAAUGAGAAUUUAAAGAUCUAAUAUGUUUGUAAUUAUGUGUAUUACGUCACAUUUGGUUUGCUUGAGUUGUUUUUGUCAUUACUGAGUUGUUUUGGGUUUGUUUGUAUAUUAUUGUUGGCAUUGAAUGUUUGCCACUGUGGGUGUACCGGGUGUGGCAUCAUGGCGACCGGUACUGUGUCCUGAGGGCUCUCAGGGCACCAGACUCUUCACAGACCGAGCGGGGGUUGGAUACACCCCUAACUUUGGACGGAUUGAGUUCCAGAGGCAGCUAAACCACCGCAGCCCAGUCGAGAGACCCGGAGGCUGCUCUCCCUCAAGGGGAGCGACCGAGAGGUCCGACAAGGGUGGUGGUAGCAGGUUUGAAGAGAUCAGAUGGGACGUUGUGGCCCUGAAACGGUCGCCGGCCACGCUUCCCAGAUUUGGAGACCUUGGCAAAGAAAUCUCACAAGAAAGGAUCGAUGCACAGUGUCCCAGUAUCGGACACAGAAACGAACGAAGAAAAAAGAAUAUAAGAUUAUAAGACCGACGGAAUAGAACAAGGUAUGCUACUCUCUUCCUAAGAGAACCCUCUUAACUUCCCUAACUGAUAAAAGAAAAGCAAAGCAAUAAGGGACGGGAAGGGUGUAAAUUGGUCAACACAAGCCGAAAUCGAUAUAACCGCAGACCAGACCAGAAGAAAAGGGGCAAAAUAAGGCCAAAUUCAUAUACUGCAUGGAAAUACUGCUUUAAAAAAAAAACUCACUGGAGGAUUGUCUGGCGGGAGGAGGAGGAGAAGCGGUAGUUUGUCCUUGAAGCCGGAUUGUUUGGUCUAGAGGAGAGCUGACGUCACGCAGACAUCUGAGUUCCCGGAUGGUUGUGAGAGCGCCGGAAGGGAGAGAGCCGGAAAGAGAGUAAACAGGAAAGGGAAUCAGGGGAAGAAAUAAAGAAGAGAGGAAGCAAGGAAGUACCUAAGACCUAUGGCGGGGCAACCAUAGAGUCUUGGUGGACCGAGAAGUUAGGAUAAGCGGGUGCCGGCGGACUCUGAAAGGCGGUGAGAAAGGAGAAGAAACGAUAGGAGGGGAGUAAUACGUAUGAGACGGUGUCGAGGACGAGAAGUAGACGAUUCAACGGAGAGGUGAGCAGUGUGUGACGAGAGGACAGUCGACCCAGGCCCAGGCGGGAGGCGUGUGGAGGGAGACGGAGAGAGGCGAGGACGAGAAGCAGACGGAGGCGGCGGUGUUGCGGACGGGGAGAGCGAGGAAAGGAAGAAAGGAGGUGGAAUUCGAGGACGAGGACGAGGACGAGAAGCAGAGGGAGCGGGGUCUGCGGAAAGAGCGGUCGGUGGAAGGAAGAAGUAUAAGAAACAGAAGGAAGGAGGAGAAGUAAAUAAACGAGCUGGUCUGGAGUGGGACCGAAAUUAGAUAAGAUAAGAUAAGAUAAGAUAAGAUAAGAUAAGAUAAGAGGGAUAAGGAAGGAAUAAGAAGAGACUCUAUAAACUGAACUAAGAGGGAACUUGUAAGAAAAGAGUAAGAAAAGAGGAGGAGGGUAAGAGAGAAAAGAAGAGGGAAGAGGAGGAGGAAGAAGAGAAGGGAGGUGAAGAAAGGUGGGGAGGAGGGAAGGGGAAAAGCUUUGUGAAUUGUGAAUUAAAUAUAUACACCACUUUUAUCUUCUAACAAAGCAAUCCUAUAGAGUUUACCGCCCUCCCACUGAUUAAGGGUGACACUUGGGAAAUAGGGGCAGUGACUCUUUAUCUGAUUUUCUCUCCCCCUUAACAGAUAAAUAGGAUCAAUUGGUACAGUAGAGGAUUAUUGUUAAAGAUCUAACAUUUAAAUUCGCCAUCGGACCGAGGAAAUAACAAAGAGAUUAGAACAUCGAAUAAAGAUGACCACCCCAAAAAUGAAGAUGGAGGAUAAAAAAUCUGCCUCAAGGAGAGGGUCAAUCCCAGAAGAAGUAAACUUGAAAGAUGUAAUGAGAGAACUCCAGAGAAUUGUGGAUAAUCAAAAAACAUUUCAAGAUCAAAUGUUAACAAUGACAAAGGAUCUAACGGAAGAAUUCUCAGAAAUGAAAAAAAAGAUGAAGGGUCUGCAAGAAGAUAUCAGAGAUAUUAAAGAGGACAAUAAGAAACUAGAGAAAAUACAAGAUAAUUUCAAAUCUAAAUUAGAAAAAUUAGAAUUAAAAAAUGCUAAACUAGAAGAAAGACAGGAACUUCUAGAAAGGAAAGAAGUAGAAUAUCAAAUUAGAAUAAGAAGCAUAGUAGAAGAACCAAAGGAAAAUAUAAGACAAAUUGUUACUCAAAUUCUAGCAGACCUACUACAAAUUCAAGACGAAGAAAUGGAGAACAGCCUAGAGCGAACAUUCAGAGUUACCACUAGCUUUUCAAAGAGAAACAAAGUACCUAGAGAUGUGGUGGUCCAGUUUGAUAAAAGGAGGACAAGAGAAGAAGUAUUGAGACUUAGUAAAAAAAAUACGAUUAGGUUCAAAGGAACGAAGGUAACAAUCCUCAAAGAAUAUUCGUCAAGUUCGAUGCAAAAACGGAAGAAAUACCUCUUCCUCACGGAAGAACUUAAGAGACGACAAAUCAGAUUCAGGUGGGAAAGAAAAGAAGGUAUCAUGACCACCUACAAGCAAGAACAACACUGGAUUACAACUGAAGAAAAAGCAAAAGACUUUUAUAAAAUGAUAAUGAAGGAAAAAACAAAACCCAACCCAACCAUCAGCCCACUGGAAGAAGAACGAGAAAGAGAAAAGAAAAGAGCAAGAGCUACCUCCCCGGAAAAAUUUACUACCAAACUCGGAUCACAGCCGCCAAACCUAAUAGAUUUAGAAGAACUAGAAGGAAAAGAAGACUAAAAAGAUAGUAUGGAAUUAAAAUGUCACUCAAAUAAUAUUAACGGACUAAAUUCACCUAAUAAAAGAAACAGACUAUUCAAUCACCUAAAGAAGUCGAGAUUUGAUUUAAUCGCCCUCCAAGAAACCCAUAUCAGCCACAGACACUCCGCACUGUUAUCCCAAAAAAGAUUAGGUAUAGAAUUUUCUUCCUCUGCUAGGGAAAAAAAAGGGGGGUGGUCCUAUACAUUAACGAGAAAUUAAACCCGUCGCUAGCCUUUAAAGAUGAUGAUGGUAGAUGGGUGGCGGCAAAAAUUAGGUUACAUAGCCAGACAAUUCUAAUUUGCAACAUAUAUGCACCAAACGGUUCCAAAAUAAUUUUCCUCGAAAAAUUAAAAAAGGAAAUAGAGGAGCAAGAAUAUGAUGAUUUGAUAAUCUUAGGAGAUUUCAAUGGAAUAAUUGACCCAGAAAUAGAUAAAAAAGGAGACCCAUCAAACAUAGAAAGGAAAGGGAAAAGAAAAUGGAUAUCAGGAAAACUACCAAAGAAGCUUAGGGAGGCUCUGUACGAUUGGGAAUUAAGAGAUGCAUGGAGGGUGCUUCAUGAGAGAGAAAGAGACUUUACCUACUUCUCAAGCAGACAUUAUUGUUGGACCAGAAUAGAUAUGGUGUGGAUGACCUCCUCACUGAUCCUUAAAUUAGGAAAAAUAAAAAUUCUUCCCCGUUAUAUCUCGGACCACUGUCCAAUAGAAUUCACAAUAAAUAAGACAAGGAGAAAUUUUAAUUGGAGACUCAAUGGAAAUCUUAUCAAAUCAGAAGAAGAUAUCAUAAAAAAUAAAAAAAUUCUUAGAGAAUAUUUUGAAUUAAACAAUACAACAGAUGUCCCCCUUCAAAUAAUCUGGGAUGCGAGUAAGGCAUACAUGCGAGGACAUUUUAUUCAACAAUCUGCCCUGAAAAACAAAUUAAAAAACGAGACAAAGAAUAAAAUAUAUGAAAAUAUUACUUCAAAUGAGACUAAACUAAAACAGGAUCCAAACAAUGAGAAAAUAAAACGAGAUCUGGAAGCACUGAAAAAACAAAUGUCCUUCAUAGAUUUGGAGGAAACGGCCAAAAAAUUGAAAUUUCUCAAACAGAGAGAAUUUCAAAAUGCCAACAAGCCGGGAAAAUGGCUGGCCUGGAAAAUUAAUAAGAAAAAACAGGAUAGAACUAUAAUGGAAAUAAUCUCGGGGGAAAACUCAUAUACAUCAGAAGAGGAGAUAGCAGCAGAAUUUAACAAAUUUUACAGCAAAUUAUACUCAAAAGACCAAAUCAGAAAAGAUAAAAUAGGGGAAUUUCUUAGUAAGCAAAAUUUAGUGAAAUUAUCAGAAAGGCAGAGAGAAUUCCUAAACAAAGAAAUAACGGAGAAAGAAAUCCUAAAAGUGAUAAAUAAUAUGGAGUGUAACAAAGCCCCCGGGCCAGAUGGACUGAAUGGACUGUAUUAUAAAACCUUCGCGGAAGAAGUGAUUCCAUUUUUAAAGAAAAUCAUGAAUGAUGUUAUGGAAAACAAAGAAGUACCAGACUCUUGGCGUUAUGCCACGGUAACAGUCAUUCCAAAGGAAGGUCAAGACCCCAAAAAUGUUAAAAGCUAUAGACCCAUAUCCUUAUUAAAUUCGGAUUAUAAAAUAUUUACAAACAUACUUGCAGAGAGAAUGAAGAUAUUUCUGAUGGAAUGGAUAGGAGAGGAGCAAACCGGUUUCCUGCCCCAAAGGCAAAUGAGAGACAAUGUGAGAGAGAUCGUAAAUAUAAUUGAGCACUAUGAAUGUAUAAAAAAAGAAGAAUUGGCUUUGCUAACAAUUGAUAUGGAAAAAGCUUUUGAUAAUUUAAAUUGGGAUUUUUUCAAAUUACUGAUAAAAGAAUUAGAUAUGGGAUAUAAAUUUACCAAUGCGAUCAACCAAAUAUACAAUAAGCAAGAGGCUAAAGUAAAAACAAAUUCCCUCGAAUCCCAAUAUUUCAAAAUUCAGAAAGGAACAAGACAGGGUUGCCCGUUGUCUCCUCUUCUGUUCAUUUUUUCGAUAGAGAUUCUAUUAAACACAAUUAGAAAUGAUCCCCAAUUAAAAGGUACAAACAUUAGGAAAUACAAUUACAAAAUCAGGGCUUUUGCAGACGAUUUAAUCUGCAUAAUAGAGGACCCAAUAAAGACAAUAAAUCUAUGGAUGUCCAAAUUUAAGGAUUUUGAAGGAAUCACAGGAUUAAAAAUAAAUACAGACAAAACUAUGAUAUUAACUAAAAAUAUGACAGACUCCAGACAAAAAGAAUUGACAGAAAAAACGGGUAUCCAAACCAGGAAAAAGAUCAAAUAUUUAGGUAUAUAUUUAACGGCUAAAAACUCUCAACUCCUGGAAAACAACUAUGAUAACAAAUGGAAAGAGAUCAAAAAGGACCUAGAGAAAUGGAAACAGCUUAAACUUUCGCUGCUAGGGAGGGUAUCAGCAAUAAAAAUGACCAUAUUGCCUAAAAUGACAUUUCUGUUUCAAAAUAUCCCAAUUAUUAGGAGUACUCAAAGAUUUAAGAAUUGGAACAAGGACCUGAGUAAGUUUAUUUGGAGGGGGAAGAAACCUAGAAUAAAAAGAAUAUAUUUGACAGACGAGAAAAAAAGAGGUGGAUUGGGUCUUCCUAAUCUCCAACUUUAUCAUGAUGCAUGUGGGUUAUCUUGGAUCAGAGAUUGGGCCACACUUCAGAAAACAAAAAUUAUAACGUUAGAAGGGGCGGACUUAAGAUCAGGGUGGCAUGCCUACUUAUGGUACAAUAAAAAAUUAAUAGAGAAAAAUUUUGGAAAUCAUUUUAUUCGAUCCUCGUUGCUGAAAAUUUGGGACAAAUACAAAAGAAGAUUACACUCAAAGACCCCAUUAUGGAUCUCCCCACUUGAAGCGCAUCAGAGAAAGGAAUUAGGGAGAGAAAAUUGGCCAAGAUAUAAAGAUAUUCUAAUUAAGGUGAACAAUAUCUACAAGGUUAAAAGUCAGGAAGAACUGAACAAUCAAUUUACAAACAUUGGCUGGUUCCAAUACAAUCAGAUAAAAGAAUAUUAUAAUAAGGAUAAUAAUCUAGGAUUUGAGGACAAGGAGGGUUACUGGGACAUGAUCAUGAAAUCUGAAAGAAAAACGAUAUCAAAACUUUAUAAAAAACUAUUAGAAUGGGAUACAGAAACGCACCAAGUAAAGGACUGUAUGUCAAUGUGGGCAAAAAAUUUUGGAAAACCGAUUCAAUUAGUAGAUUGGGAAAAAAGUUGGAAUACAAGGCUCAAAUUCACAUAUGCAACGGAUUUGAAGGAAAAUUGGGUUAAAAUGUUUUAUAGAUGGUAUUGGACACCACAGAAAAUUGCCAAAUUCAAUAAGAGAGCAUCAAAUAAAUGCUGGAAAUGUGGUAUAGAAGUUGGGACAUUCUACCAUUGUUGGUGGACAUGCAAAAAAGUGAAAACCUAUUGGAAAGAAAUACAUUGGAGAAUCCAAAAGAUGUUGCAAAUUAGAAUAGACCUGAAUCCAAAAUAUUUUCUCCUGGGGAUGUUAGAUAUAGAUAAAGAUAGAAAUAAGGAGAUCUUAUUUAAUUACCUAAGCACCGCAGCUAGAAUGAACCUGGCGAGAUUCUGGAAGGAGAAGGAGAUGCCGGGGAUAAAAGGAUGGAUAAAUAAAGUCUGGGAGAUUAUGAGUAUGGACAAAUUAACAUAUUUACUACGGAAUAAUCAUGGCAAACCAAUGAAACAGACAAAUUGGGAAAUGGUCAAAAGCUAUCUGAGGGAAGAAAAAUAUAAUGUGAUGAUUUAGAAUAGAGAGUAAGACAAUAAAUACAAAAUACCGAGUUAGGUGUUUUAAAAUGAUACAAUAAAGCAGAGACACUAGAAAAAAAGUGUCCGUAGGACUACGACAGGGUUUAGAAUAAACUAAGAAUUUCACUAGAUACUGUGCAAAGAUGGAAGUCAAUGUUACUUUUAAUCGGUGUGGUGGUUGGUUUUUCCCAUGUUUAUUUUAAGUUUAUCUAUUAUUACUCUGUUAGUAUUUCAAUUCCCCAACUUCCCCUCACUGUCUCGGGCUUAUGUAUUUUUGUUUUAUCGCUGUACUUUCCCCCCUUUUUUUUCCCCCUCUUCCCCUUUUCCUGUCGUUCUUUUUUUACUUUGAUUGUGAAAAACUUCAAUAAAAAUUAAUUAAAAAAAAAAAAGAAUGUUUGCCACUGUGUAUUUGUUGUAAGCCACUCUGAGUCCCCUUGGGGAGAUAGGGCAGGCUAUAAAUAAAGUUUCAUUAAUGCAAAUGUGCAAUAGGAUCUGUCGCUUCCUUCCCAUUGACAUCAGACUGGCCUCUUCCCUCCUGGUCUUCAGGAAAAAGCUAAAGACCUGGCUUUGGAACCAGGCAUUUGGGGAGUAGUACAAUUGGGAAUUUGACUUAAAUGUAGUGGAAAAAAGAUGAUUAUGGGACUAGGCAGUAUGCUUUAAUUCUGUUUUAAUUGUAUCUGUAUGUUCUGUUUUUAUUGCUCAAUGUGUUAUAUUCAUAUUUGUAAUAUGGCAUUGAAUUUUGCUAUAACUAAGCCACUCUGAGUCCCCUUCAGGGUGAGAAGAGCGGGGUAGAAAUAUAGUAAAGAAAUAAAGAAAUAAAUUUUAUGUUGACUAACACAGUUAUGUCUGACUACAUCAUGAUCCUCCUCCCAGAGAGAAAUCCUAGCCAGAUUUUCACUAACAAUGGGACUUAGUUCAAAACUGAUAUCCUUUUGUACGUCCCCCAGUCUGCCCUGUAGGAUAGCAGAACUGGAGCAGUGAUGCUAUCUGCAACCUCCAAGUUCCUUCUUCCCUGUUUAAAUUGCAUUCCUGUCUGCAUUGUCCUCUUCAAUAAAACUACAAUAGCAGCAGUGGCAGGAGGGGAGUAUUUGGUGGAUGUGACUGGUGUACGUCCACUAGAUCACCUAGAAAGCCUCCAAGGGCUGCUUGAACUAAUGUUGUUUUACAUUAAAAUGAAGUAAUGGUGUACUGGUGUGUCUGUGUUAUGACUGGACAUAAAUUCUAAUUAAAAAGACCUUUGGAUUUUUUAACAAUGUGGAAAAGUGGCAGGGAUGUUUUGCAUCAGGGAUGGGAAUUAUAUAGCCCUAAAGAUGGUGUUGGAUUAUAUCUUCCACAGCCAAUAAUUAGGAAUAAGAGGAGAUGGGCUAGAGAAGGAUUAAAAGGAUCUUUUCUCCAUUUCAGUGGUUCAACCAACCGCAGUGCCUUUAAAUGUUCUGUUUAUCAUUUCUGUAUUUUUAAUUGACUCAAAAGAGGGUAGGACACAAAUGGAACAGCAGUCUUUAAAUAAUUAAAAGCCACUAAUCUUCCAGAAAUGCCAGAAGGUGCCCCAGUAACAUCACAUGAUGUGAUGUCUCCCAUCACCUGUAAAUAAUAAGGAUCAUGAUGUUCAAAUGCAAACAGCUAUAUGAAUUUAUUGUUUUGUUGUAGGAGUUAUCAGGGAUGAAAGCAGAUGGUAUUGGUUGCUAUGAGAUUUAUUUAAAGAAGCAAUAUUGGGAAUGUUCUUCAUAUCAAAACAUUCAUAUUUCCUUUUUUCAAAAUUAAGAUGCAUAUUUUAAUCAGUUUUCUCAGUAGGUAGAGUGAACCAAUCCACCUGGACUUGAUCACUAUGAUGAAGUUAAGAAUUAAGGAUCUCCCUCCAACAUUUGAACAAUAAUUCCAAUACAGAUAGGAUCAAUAUCCAAAGCUACAAUAAUCUAAUUAUCAGUUUCCCAGCAGUUUGCAAAGCAUUGGACCUGGAACAAUGAUAUAAUAAUUAAUUCCAUACUGUAGCAAAGGAUUGUGAGGAAUGUGGAGUUGUAGAAGCCUAAAACAAAAAUUUCAUCUCUCAACUAAGUAGAUGAUGUUUUGUUUUUCAAUUAUGUUGCUAGCAAUUUGGUAUAUUUUAUGCUCUUACCAAUUUAAAUUAUAUUGUAAAUGGCUUUAGGGGAAAAUCUUUGGCAGAUAUGUUUGUAUUCUGAGAAAACUAGUGAGACUAAAGAAAAUGUUUGAAUUAUUCCUUAAUAGCUAGAGCAUCCCUUAAUGAUGUCGACUAAUCUCAUACCUGACUUUUUCCAACUUUAAUCAAAUCAUGUCUUCAGUAGUUAAGGGAAGAAACCUAAAAGAGCCUCGCUUCAUCUCUUCCUGGAAAGCAUGCUCUGCAUUUUCUCCAUUGCUUCACACAUUGUAGGACUGAGAUGGCUCAUCUGAAGGUUUCCAUGACAUAUACCAGCAUAUUUUUUUCCAGGUUGAAAAAGAAAAGAGGUUGAUAUAUGUGUUUCUUUUGGUGGAAAAAACCUCUGUCAAAAAUUCAUCAUGGUGCAUCACAACAUUUGAGGAAAAAGUAUUGACAACUACAUGUCAGGGCUUCCUAGGACAGCUAGGAAGUAGUAGGAAUUGACUUUGCCCCUUUGUCAUCAUCAUAACACAGCAGAACGGACAAGAAGACUUCUAUAACUAACUACACAUCAUGAUGGAAAUGUGUCCACAGAAAUUGUUGCUGGCUUGGAGCAAGCUUAAUAGCACUCUGAAAAGAGGAGGAAAAGAUUUCAGAGAUAAAUGGGACACGCAGAAUCUGCUGCCUUUAAUAUUUCAUUCGGUGAUAAUGAAUUAUUGCUUAGAAGCUAGAAAGUAACAGAAGAGGGAAGAGUGGGUCAGAAAUUUUCAGUUAGAGAUGCUUUGUGGUAAUGUGAUUUUUUUGACUGAAGAUCUUUGAUUAACACCAGGAUGAGUACCUGAAAAGAAUGGAGAAAAACUGCCGAGACGACUACUACCAACUCCCUGAAAUGUACAGUACUCAUCUUGAACCUGCUACAAGAAGUUCACAUGACGUAGUAGGAGUUCUCCAGCAGAACUGCAGUUUGAAGUCUUUCAUCCAUUAUAAGAAGAACCAGGGUUUAUUCCAGAACUUUCUGGAAGUUCUGAAGUGAUGACCAAUGUUUUUGAUCUGUGGAUAGCUUCAUCAGACUAUCUUCUACGAUCUAGUAUCCACUUAUCAAAAAGACUGACUGCUCCUUGGUAGAAGCCUACUUUUCUGAUGAUCACACCACUGGACACCUAAUUGUUUUGCUUCUGCUGGAAAAAACAACAGUGACAAUACCCAGGGUAACAAGAUACUGGUGCCAAUGCAUUGUUGAACCAGCUGGCCAUUCAGAUUGCAAAAGGACUUUGAGGCAUUUCCACGCUGGCCAGAGGCAAUAAUGGGUUUCUGAGGAUGCCUGCCGUAGAUGUGGGUGAAACAUCAGGAGAGAAUGCUUCUGGAACAUGGCCAUACAGCCAGGAAAACUCACAACAACCCAGUGAUUCUGGCCAUGAAGGCCUUCGACAACAAAUAGUGGGUUUGCAUGCACUUGAGUUUAUCAUGCCAUUUGGAGCAAAAUGGGGGCUAGAGUGGCAACAUUGUGAAUCAAAAUCAAAUUGUUCUUGCAGUAGCAACAAGGCCAGGCGGUGAGCCUUCUACAAGCCUCAGCUAAGAUAUAAGGCAUGGACAAACUCUCAAGACUACAUGAAAUGCUAUCCCUUAGAAAGAAUAGGAACUGCUGUAACUAGCAGGCAUAUUUUACUGCCUACCUGGCUGCUAGAAUUUUCUGCCAAGAGCUCCAGAGGAGGAGUGUGCGAAAAGACAAGACAUUACAAAAGCUUGUCCCUCGAGUUUGGUCCCGCAGUUGCUGGGAGUGAAAUGCUGCUGACCUAGUAUUCCAGAAGAGAUGCUUGGAUUGCUGUAACAAGCUCUGCAGAAAAAAGAGGCUUCUUUUCAAUAAGUCUUUUUUUAAGAGCAGUAUUUUAAUUUUCCUUUUGUGGAUAGCUGACAUAAACCAGUUUUGCUGAUCUUAGUUAAAAACAGAGUUUGUUUUCACAUUUCCUGCUGAUGUAACUUGAUCUAAUCGACGGUAGCUGGGCUGACUUUUGAGAAGCAAAGGAGAGAGCUUAAAAUAAAUUAAAGUUGUUCUUUUUUUCAUGCCUCCUGGCACAACGCUCACUGGAACAGGCAAAGGCAACUCCCUUUGGUCAGCUGAGUUUAUGAUACAGGGAAACACACACAGGUGUUUUGAAACUCUGAAAACCUGUUUUUCAAGAAUGGCCCAUCAUUAGCAUGAUCCAGACUUCCUCCUUGACAGAUAUCAUCUACUUUAUUUAUUCAGCUGAAAAGGAGACAAUAUGUGGUUGCAAUUAUGUUCCCUUGAAUUAAGUUCUUUUACACAAAUAGUGGCAGUGGAAAAGAUCCUUUGGAGGUGAUGAAGGAGGCUUCUCUGAUCAUAAGGAUCAGUGGUUUCAGUGACUAACUGGGUUUGGAGACUGAACUAGAAUGGACUGGACAAAAAAUAUUGUUGAACUGUAUAAUUUGAGAACAGAACUAACCAUCUAGAUGGAGCGCAGUGGAUGUACAAUGUCCAGGUCCUCGUGCCAGCCUGUAUCCCACCCCAAAUCCCCACCACCACCACCCCGAAAUAUUUAUGCAUGCAUCUGUGUCUUCAAGUCCCCUGUUGCCAUGGUGACCCCAUGCAUUUCAUAGGGGUUUCUUAUGUAAGAAAUACUCAGAGGUGAUUUUUGCCAAUUCCUCCUUCUGAAAUAAAGCUUACAGUACCUGCUAUUCAUUAACAGUCUUCCAUCCAAGUAGUAACAGAACAGACCCUGCUUAGCUUCCAAGAUCAGACAGGAUCUGAUGUCUUUGGGAUAUUUAGACAUUAUGUCCAGAGAACUGAGAGCAAUUAACAGACUCAAAUAGCAUUAACAUUCUUCUUAUAGAGAGUGAGUGAGCAGUAGAGAGAGUUUUUGUACCUUGAAUGGUUGUAUAGAAGAGAAUUUCAGCAGGUGUUGCUUGUUACCUGGUUGCAUGAUAGGAAACAUCUGCUGGCAUCUAUCUUCUGUACUACCAUGAAAAAUACAAAAGCCCUCUCCAGUUCUCAACUAUACCUCUUCCAACAGUGAGAUUUUUAAAAAGCAACACUGCAUUUUCUGUACAUAGGCCUAAUUUUCAAAGUGUAGAAGAUCUUGGCCUCGAGAGCUUUUGCAAAUAAUAGUCCCAUAAGCAGCUGUUCAAAGAUCUACUAAUUUUUUUCAAAAAGAAUUGUAUGAAAAAGCUGUAAUGGGAAAGACAACCUCACUUUUCCUCACUUUCCUGUUUUGAAGGAUUCUUCACGGUCAGAAA
Anolis carolinensis (green anole) is the source of this 19359-nucleotide RNA transcript. It is a transcript of the gene named RAB27B, member RAS oncogene family, with no coding region annotated. Lineage: Eukaryota; Metazoa; Chordata; Lepidosauria; Squamata; Anolidae. The transcript has 2 exons. The record is from RefSeq and is a predicted model, not a curated record.